AUGGCUCAUUAAAUCAGUUAUCGUUUAUUUGAUAGUACCUUACUACAUGGAUACCUGUGGUAAUUCUAGAGCUAAUACAUGCUAAAAACCCCGACUUCAGGAAGGGGUGUAUUUAUUAGAUAAAAAACCAACGCCCUUCGGGGCUCCUUGGUGAAUCAUAAUAACUUAACGAAUCGCAUGGCCUUGCGCCGGCGAUGGUUCAUUCAAAUUUCUGCCCUAUCAACUUUCGAUGGUAGGAUAGUGGCCUACCAUGGUGGCAACGGGUAACGGGGAAUUAGGGUUCGAUUCCGGAGAGGGAGCCUGAGAAACGGCUACCACAUCCAAGGAAGGCAGCAGGCGCGCAAAUUACCCAAUCCCGAUACGGGGAGGUAGUGACAAUAAAUACUGAUACGGGGCUCUUUCGGGUCUCGUAAUUGGAAUGA
This 422-nucleotide ribosomal RNA is filed under the name Penicillium sp. COLC. Its description in RNAcentral is "SSU rRNA". It matches the Rfam family "Eukaryotic small subunit ribosomal RNA", at positions 93 to 517 of the family's 1831-position model. Lineage: Eukaryota; Fungi; Ascomycota; Eurotiomycetes; Eurotiales; Aspergillaceae. The record is from RNAcentral.